This 852-nucleotide long non-coding RNA is filed under the name Homo sapiens (human). Its description in RNAcentral is "HSALNT0349424". The record is from RNAcentral. Lineage: Eukaryota; Metazoa; Chordata; Mammalia; Primates; Hominidae.
GGGUCUCAUUCUGUCACCUAGACUGGAGUGCAAUGGCAUGAUCUCAGCUCACUGCAACCUCCACCUCCCAGGCUCAAGCAGUUCUCCUGCUUCAGCUUCCCAAAUAGCUGGGACUACAGGGAGGAAGCAAAGUGAAGAACACAGAUUUCACAGAUGGGAUGCCUGGCUCAAAUUCCAGCUUGACCGCUGGUAGCUGUGUGACCCUCGGCAAGUUACUUGACCUCUCUCUACUCAGUGUCCUCAUCUGUCAGUGUAAUAUGAAUCAGAAAACAUGAACUCAGACUGAUGCUGGAAGCCACCUUAUGACUAUAAGCAGAAUCAGCCUCGUUAUGACGUUGAUGCUAUAAGCAACGGACUGAAAGAUACAAAGAGCAAGCAGACAGGAUGAAAUGCGUAAAUGGCGACAGUAGAGCCAGCCUUCAUGAAUCCAGAAAUGUGAGCCACAUUUUGAGGAUAGCAGAGUCACUGCAGAAGCCUGGAUCCUUGCAUAACCUUGUCGAGUGGGAAAAUCUACCCAUACUUGACCAACCACCUAACUGGGGGCUCUACAUCUGAGAGAAAUGAUUUUUUAUCUUAUUUAAGCCACUGUAGUUAGGAGUCAGUUUAUUACAGGACAUUGCCUGGUGUUCCAACAAAUAAACUACCUUAUUUGUUUCAAUAAAUAAAGUGGCUUUUAUUUACUAUUUUGGGGAUGGCUAAAAAAUUAUCAAACUAGGUAGAACUAAACUAAAGUUUCAGAUGAAAGAAGAUCUUCAUAAGCAACAUCACCAUCUUGUCACAGCAGCCAAAUGGUGGCAUGUCAUUUCUUCCAGGAAAGUAUAUAUACUCUGAAUGUAUCAUGUUUCAGCAUUG